GACGAACGCUGGCGGCGUGCUUAACACAUGCAAGUCGAACGGAGAGGCCCUGCUCUUGUGGGGUGCUCGAGUGGCGCACGGGUGAGUAUCACGUGUGUAACCUGCCCUUGUCUUUGGGAUACCUUCAGGAAACUGGGGCUAAUACAGGAUAGGAGCUCCUGCUGCAUGGUGGGGGUUGGUGAGAUUCGGCGUUUGGGGAUGGAGUCGAGGCUUAUCAGCUUGUUGGUGGGGUAGUGGCUUACAAAGGCUUUGACGGGUAGCCGGCCUGAGAGGGUGACCGGCCACAUUGGGACACGGGUGCGACCAGGAGGGCAACGGGGGGCAUCAGUGAGAAAUUGUGCGCGAUGGGCGGAAGCCGGAUGCAGCAACGCCGCGUGCGGAAUGACGGUCGGCGGGUUAUAAAGCUCGUGCGCCUGUGACGAAGCGCGAGUGACGGUAAUGAGUAAAGAAGCAACGGCUAACUACGUG
RNAcentral lists this ribosomal RNA (468 nucleotides) under uncultured bacterium. Its description in RNAcentral is "partial 16S ribosomal RNA". It matches the Rfam family "Bacterial small subunit ribosomal RNA", at positions 28 to 507 of the family's 1533-position model. The record is from RNAcentral.